CUCUACAAAGUUGAACAUAGGCUGAGUCUCUAUGCCUUGA
This 40-nucleotide small RNA is filed under the name Plasmodium falciparum 3D7. Its description in RNAcentral is "Pfa-mtR5750b". Lineage: Eukaryota; Apicomplexa; Aconoidasida; Haemosporida; Plasmodiidae. The record is from RNAcentral.